UUAAAUCUCUCUAUCGAGAAACAAUUGGAGGGCAAGUCUGGUGCCAGCAGCCGCGGUAAUUCCAGCUCCAAUAGCGUAUAUUAAAGUUGUUGCAGUUAAAAAGCUCGUAGUUGAACUUCUGCCCAUCGGUCGCCAGCACAAUCGUGUUUGUGCGAUUGGUGGGCAUCCUUCUAGGCGUUCCUCACGGACACGCUUAGAACCUUUACUGUGAGAAAAUUAGAGCGUUCCAAGCAAGCGAUUGCUUUGAAUACUACAGCAUGGAAUAAUACUAUAGGACUUUUGUGCCUAUUUGUUGGUGUUAGGCCGAAAGUAAUGAUUAAUAGGGGCAGUCGGGGGCAUUCGUAUUUGACAGCCAGAGGUGAAAUUCUUGGACUUGUCAAAGACGAACUACUGCGAAAGCAUUUGCCAAGGAUGUUCCCAUUAAUCAAGAACGAAAGUUAGGGGAUCGAAGACGAUUAGAUACCGUCGUAGUCUUAA
This 477-nucleotide ribosomal RNA is filed under the name uncultured Colpodella. RNAcentral's name for it is "SSU rRNA". It matches the Rfam family "Eukaryotic small subunit ribosomal RNA", at positions 525 to 1029 of the family's 1831-position model. Lineage: Eukaryota; Colpodellaceae. The record is from RNAcentral.